This 468-nucleotide ribosomal RNA is filed under the name uncultured bacterium. RNAcentral's name for it is "partial 16S ribosomal RNA". It matches the Rfam family "Bacterial small subunit ribosomal RNA", at positions 28 to 507 of the family's 1533-position model. The record is from RNAcentral.
GAUGAACGCUGGCGGCGUGCUCACCACAUGCAAGUCGAACGGUGAAGGCGGAGCUUGCUCUGUUGGAUCAGUGGCGAACGGGUGAGUAACAUGUGUGCAAUCUGCCCCUGACUCUGGGAUAAGCGCUGGAAACGGCGUCUAAUACUGGAUACGAGCUGCGAAGGCAUCUUCAGCAGCUGGAAAGAAUUUCGGUCAGGGAUGAGCUCGCGGCCUAUCAGCUUGUUGGUGAGGUAAUGGCUCACCAAGGCGUCGACGGGUAGCCGGCCUGAGAGGGUGACCGGCCACACUGGGACUGAGACACGGCCCGGACUCCUACGGGAGGCAGCAGUGGGGAAUAUUGCACAAUGGGCGAAAGCCUGAUGCAGCAACGCCGCGUGAGGGACGACGGCCUUCGGGUGGUAAACCUCUUUUAGCAGGGAAGAAGCGAAAGUGGCGGUACCUGCAGAAAAAGCGCCGGCUAACUACGUG